This 72-nucleotide transfer RNA is filed under the name Bos taurus (domestic cattle). It matches the Rfam family "tRNA". Rfam says of the family: Transfer RNA (tRNA) molecules are approximately 80 nucleotides in length. Their secondary structure includes four short double-helical elements and three loops (D, anti-codon, and T loops). Further hydrogen bonds mediate the characteristic L-shaped molecular structure. tRNAs have two regions of fundamental functional importance: the anti-codon, which is responsible for specific mRNA codon recognition, and the 3' end, to which the tRNAs corresponding amino acid is attached (by aminoacyl-tRNA synthetases). tRNAs cope with the degeneracy of the genetic code in two manners: having more than one tRNA (with a specific anti-codon) for a particular amino acid; and 'wobble' base-pairing, i.e. permitting non-standard base-pairing at the 3rd anti-codon position. RNAcentral also lists the same sequence under 5 other names. Lineage: Eukaryota; Metazoa; Chordata; Mammalia; Artiodactyla; Bovidae. The record is from Rfam by way of RNAcentral.
UCCCUCCUGGCUUAGUUGGUAAAGAAUCUGCCUGUAAUUCGGGAGACCUGGGUUCGAUCCCUGGGUUGGGAA